Molecule: ribosomal RNA, 484 nt
Filed under: uncultured bacterium
Lineage: Bacteria
Description: partial 16S ribosomal RNA
Rfam family: Bacterial small subunit ribosomal RNA
Source: RNAcentral
AUUGAACGCUGGCGGCAGGCCUAACACAUGCAAGUCGAGCGGAUGAAGGGAGCUUGCUCCUGGAUUCAGCGGCGGACGGGUGAGUAAUGCCUAGGAAUCUGCCUGGUAGUGGGGGAUAACGUCCAGAAACGGGCGCUAAUACCGCAUACGUCCUGAGGGAGAAAGUGGGGGAUCUUCGGACCUCACGCUAUCAGAUGAGCCUAGGUCGGAUUAGCUAGUUGGUGGGGUAAAGGCCUACCAAGGCGACGAUCCGUAACUGGUCUGAGAGGAUGAUCAGUCACACUGGAACUGAGACACGGUCCAGACUCCUACGGGAGGCAGCAGUGGGGAAUAUUGGACAAUGGGCGAAAGCCUGAUCCAGCCAUGCCGCGUGUGUGAAGAAGGUCUUCGGAUUGUAAAGCACUUUAAGUUGGGAGGAAGGGCAGUAAGUUAUUACCUUGCUGUUUUGACGUUACCAACAGAAUAAGCACCGGCUAACUUCGUG